Molecule: non-coding RNA, 30 nt
Filed under: Rattus norvegicus (Norway rat)
Lineage: Eukaryota; Metazoa; Chordata; Mammalia; Rodentia; Muridae
Source: RNAcentral
UAUUGUAUGUAGAAAGUGCUGUUCUCAGGA